This 524-nucleotide ribosomal RNA is filed under the name uncultured bacterium. RNAcentral's name for it is "partial 16S ribosomal RNA". It matches the Rfam family "Bacterial small subunit ribosomal RNA", at positions 28 to 523 of the family's 1533-position model. The record is from RNAcentral.
GACGAACGCUGGCGGCGUGCCUAAUACAUGCAAGUCGAACGAAGCUUUUUUAACUGGUGCUUGCACCGACUUAAACAACUGAGUGGCGAACGGGUUAGUAACACGUGGGUAACCUGCCCCAAAGCGGGGGAUAACAUUUGGAAACAGAUGCUAAUACCGCAUAACCACAGAAACCACAUGGUUUCUGUGUCAAAGAUGGUUUCGGCUAUCACUUUGGGAUGGACCCGCGGCGUGUUAGCUAGUUGGUAAGGUAAUGGCUUACCAAGGCAAUGAUACGUAGCCGAACUGAGAGGUUGAUCGGCCACAUUGGGACUGAGACACGGCCCAAACUCCUACGGGAGGCAGCAGUAGGGAAUCUUCCACAAUGGACGAAAGUCUGAUGGAGCAACGCCGCGUGAGUGAAGAAGGUUUUCGGAUCGUAAAACUCUGUUGUCAGAGAAGAACGUGUGCGAGAGUAACUGUUCGUGCAGUGACGGUAUCUGGCCAGAAAGCCACGGCUAACUACGUGCCAGCCGCCGCGGUAA